RNAcentral lists this ribosomal RNA (449 nucleotides) under uncultured bacterium. RNAcentral describes it as "partial 16S ribosomal RNA". It matches the Rfam family "Bacterial small subunit ribosomal RNA", at positions 29 to 523 of the family's 1533-position model. The record is from RNAcentral.
AACGAACGCUGGCGGCAGGCUUAACACAUGCAAGUCGAGCGAGACCUUCGGGUCUAGCGGCGGACGGGUGAGUAACGCGUGGGAACGUGCCCUUCUCUACGGAAUAGCCCCGGGAAACUGGGAGUAAUACCGUAUACGCCCUUUGGGGGAAAGAUUUAUCGGAGAAGGAUCGGCCCGCGUUGGGUUAGGUAGUUGGUGGGGUAAUGGCCCACCAAGCCGACGAUCCAUAGCAGGUUUGAGAGGAUGAUCAGCCACACUGGGACUGAGACACGGCCCAGACUCCUACGGGAGGCAGCAGUGGGGAAUCUUAGACAAUGGGGGCAACCCUGAUCUAGCCAUGCCGCGUGAGUGAUGAAGGCCUUAGGGUUGUAAAGCUCUUUCAGCUGGGAAGAUAAUGACGGUACCAGCAGAAGAAGCCCCGGCUAACUCCGUGCCAGCCGCCGCAGUAA